This 2022-nucleotide small RNA is filed under the name Arabidopsis thaliana (thale cress). RNAcentral describes it as "ATSL000480". The record is from RNAcentral. Lineage: Eukaryota; Viridiplantae; Streptophyta; Magnoliopsida; Brassicales; Brassicaceae.
AUUACAAUCCAAAGCCUAAACUAAAUUCCAAAUUCCUGAAAGUCACCAAGAGAUAGACAAGAGGGACAAGGAGAUAAGAGAAAGAGUAAGAACGACAGAUCAAAGUGAAAUAGAUCAAAAAUCAAACCAGAACGAAAUUGUUGUUGCAACCAGGUCUCUGCGGAAGCGAAUCGUCGUGGUGAACUAUGUCUCCAGCACAAACGAAACUAGCACUGUACAACAACAACCCGAAGACGAACGAGAAACAACUGAGAGAUUUCCACAAGAUCAUAUUCCAGACUCCACGGAAUCGUUAAAAGGAGGGAAGAAGAAAAAGAAGAUAAAAAGAUUAGAGAGGAAAGAUGGAGAAAAAAUGGAGGAAGGUACAAUGAACGAGAGAGAGAGAAGAGAAGAGAAGAGGGAAAAAAAAUAAAGUCUCGUGGGAGAGAGAGAGAUGAAAAAAGGUUGGUGUCGUUUUAGAGGUAAGUAAAGCUUAAAACGCUGGCUUUGACUUUUUUUUUCUCUCUCUUUUUGGUCCUCUGGCGCGUGGGACGCGUGUUUAGAUGUAUUGGUGUCUGUGUACAGUACUGUUUAUUAUUAUUGAAUUCUUUGUCCGUACGAUAUUUUGCCUUUUCUGUAGUUAUAUUUAUCAAAACUGUUUAUCUGCUGAUGAUGAUAAGUGAUAACAGAUCAAGCGCCGUGUAGUUCUAAAACAUGUGGAGUCAUUAACGGAACCAAAAAGUUACACAAAAAAACAAACAUCAUAUAUUAACUUACCGAUGCUUGAAUAAUAGUACUAUUAUUGAAUGACAAACCCAUUCUAUAAUCUAUAUCACUAUAUGCCAUGUUAUGAUUAUUGAUGAUUUAAGGUUUAAUUUUUUUUUCUUUUUUGAAAUAUGUUGAUUGUCUAUAUAAUAAACAUCUCUCACUCAAUAAAAAUCAAAUAAAUCAAGUGACCUUUUUCUGAAUCAUAUCAUAAACAAAAAAAUAUCAGUAAUUUUUUAAAAAGUACCGGUUUUCAAAUAAUAAAUUUGCAGUAAUGAAUUCAUUGAUGUUUUGGGUCGGUUCACCCUAAUACAUUUUUUCUCUCUCGCCUCCCUGCUUUAACUCCAAGUGGUCGUUGUGCUCGUGACGGCGCGUGGCGGCUCCUACAACGCCGGCGUCGGUCACCUUUCUUGUUUCCUGUUUAGUUUUUCUUUUCAUAGAUGUCUUCUUUGGUUUUAGAAGCAUAGAGGCUCUUUACAAUUUGGAGUGGUGAGUGUUGUGAAGCAGAUCUAGUGAGAUUGGGUUUUGGUACUUGGAUCUGUGGGAUCUGAUGGUCGAGGGUGUUCUUAGGUCACUGUUCUUGUUCGCUGGUCAUGGAGUGCAGUCACGCUUCAUCUUUGCCGGUGGACUUUCAAGACUUUUGCUUCUUCUCUUGACGGCUUGUUUCUCUUCUCCCAUGGCUGAAUCUGUGCAACAUCGGAUCGACUUCUCGAUAACUCGGUAUCUCCAUUGUCUCUCAUGUCUUCUGCUUUUGUGAAACUUGUUGCUCUGAUCAGUUUGUAUUCAUGAGAUCUGGUAACAUCAGCGGCUUAGGUUAAUUUGUCUCCCUCUUUUGGGCUAUUGUCUCCCUUUUUUGGGCUUAGCUUCUCUUCCCCGACUAAGUUAGACUUUGUUAGUUUGGGGUUGAGCUCUUGGAUUACAUAUCAGUUCUUCUUUUGUUGUAUUAAGCAACGAUUAGCUUAAUUAAUUGAUCGUUGUGGUGUUGAAAGGUUUAAGUGGUUCUCGAUUAUCCUACGGUUCAUCCGGGUUAGGUACUCUUUGAAAAAGAAGCAUCAUUUACGGAGAAGACCAAGUUCCACUAUCUUGUUAUUGCCAUAAGUGUUGAAGCCCGUCUUCUCAGUUUGUUGUGCGGGAAGUCCUUGUGGUGAACUUCGAGAGCUUUGUUUAGUCUCGAGAUAAGAUUAGUUUGGUUUUUGCAAUGUUCUCGAAAAAAACCCUUCUUCAUGGGUCGAGCUUUGUGUAUCUUUAAAGUCUAAACUCUUUAUUUUCAUAUGUAUU